RNAcentral lists this long non-coding RNA (244 nucleotides) under Daucus carota (carrot). Its description in RNAcentral is "long non-coding RNA (DCAR_LNC001577)". The record is from RNAcentral. Lineage: Eukaryota; Viridiplantae; Streptophyta; Magnoliopsida; Apiales; Apiaceae.
GGCAGAACCAAAUGCACCCUCAACAUCAGCCUCCAUAUCCUGGUCCAAAUAUGGCAUAUCCGCCAUCAUCCGGGUUACUUCCUAACCCAUCUGGCCCCCCUCUACCAUCACCAAGAAUGAAUGGUCCUCCUCCUCUCCCAUCACCUAGAAUGAAUGGUCCACCGCCCCUACCAUCACCUAGAAUGAAUGGUCCACCACCCCUACCAUCACCAAGGAUGAACGGCCCUCCACCCCUCCCUUCCCC